RNA transcript from Apis laboriosa (Himalayan honeybee), 7781 nucleotides. It is a transcript of the gene named probable serine/threonine-protein kinase yakA, with no coding region annotated. The transcript has 12 exons. The record is from RefSeq and is a predicted model, not a curated record. NCBI's taxonomy places the organism in Eukaryota, Metazoa, Arthropoda, Insecta, Hymenoptera, Apidae.
CUCACGCCGAACAUUUCGUGAAAACUUGCGACCAUAAGACCUCCUCCAGUGUAUUUUACCGUACAACAGUGUUCGUAUUCGUUUAGUGGUGUGUAGAAAAUUGUGUCGAUCUUCGAUCGUCGAGGGUGCGAUCUCUGGAAAGUAGCAAGGAAGGAUCGACACGACAAUCCGUAAGAUCGCGUCGCCACUCGUCCGUAUAUGUGCGCGCGCGCAAGAUCCCCUCCUCCAGUGCUUGUGUAUAUACCUGUACGUAGUGUGUACGAGCAAGCGGGCAAGCGCGCGUGUAUAUAGCUCCACUUCUUUCUCUCUUCUUCUGUCUUCUUGUACCGUCUGCGUUCCGUGCGCUCGUGUUCGUGAUUGGUCGGUGCGUGGCAUUUUUAAAAAGUCGUCCUGCUUCUGUCCGUUAUAACCUGAGAGAGAUCCGGCAGCAGUGAUGUCGCGAAACCAUGAGUAAAUCGAUAUCGUGAUCCAUGUCGAUACGAAGCAUUUCCGACUGCGAGUUUCUUCGAUUGUUCGCGAUACAAUAGUUUUCUUCUCGUUGUGAUUAAUUAUUUACGGGUUCUUCGUUGCUUUUUACCACGAGCAGUUGCAACGAACAGAAACCGCGAACGGCACGUACGAGAUUCGAGCAAGAAAGGAAUAAGGGGCUACGAUACCGGCUCUCCAGAAUUCCUCGCGGCACGUUUGUCGAAAUAGCGGAAAAUUUAAACACGAUAUCCUAACGACUCGGCAACAUUACGGAGCAAUAACUAUCAUUGUUGACAGAUAGAGUACACGAGUACGAAAAAAGAAAAGAAAAUAAAUGCAAGAAAGGAAAGAAGAGAAAGGGGAAAGCAAAAUACGCGUGCAAUUCCUUUUUUCGGAGCGAUUCUCCUGAGUGACAUAUGCGUGUGGCGCGUAGAUUCCUUGCCAAAGAUAAAGUUUGGAUACGAACGGGAGCACUGGAAAGUGGCUGAAUUUCGAGAAUAGUUUCUUCUCGACCUUCUGUUUGAAAGGAGGGGGAAAAGAAAAGGACGAUAUAACCGUCGCGGCGAUUUUCUGGUCUCUUUAGAGAAGUGCAGUUUCUGUUCUCCAUUCGUGCUUCGUUCAUCGGCCGGAGUGUCGGUUGUGCUACAGUGUAUCGUAGUGCUAGUGCGGGGUAAGGUUAGGGUUAUACAGAAGAGAAAGAAAGAUAAAGAGAAGAGUAGGUAUAAAUGAAUAAGCGAUAAACUGCAACAUCGCGAUUAAGUGCAAAAUACACGACAAGACAAAAUAUCGUUGCAAGAGGAUACCGUUCGAAGAAGAGUCGUUCACAUUUCUCAAGAACUGGAUUACUCGAGAACGUGCAAUUCGAGAAUCGCUAAAAUUUUACCUGUUUAUAAAAAAGGCCGUACCCCCAGAGAUGGUAUGAGGGACGAUUCCGGCAACAUUGCCGACGUGGCCAGUACUUCGAGCGCGUAGACGUAUACGUGCCGUUAAGUCCCGGAAGGAAGAACCGACUUGGACCGACCUCCCCCCUACAGUGUUGGAUCCUAGAUUUGUUCGUAGAUAGAUUCCUCAUGCCAGCUCCGCAACAGAACUUGUACCAAGAGGACGAUGAAAACUGUCAUGGACCGAUGGACGGCGUGCGACCGCACGAUUUUCCCGAGACCUAUGAACAGUUGUUGAAACACUUCUGCGUCAAACCAUUCUCUUUGCCCAUAUAUUGUCUGGACAACAAGCGGCGAGUCUGUCAAGAUUGCUACGAGAAUGGUUUAGAUAACGAGGUGCGAGUCCUCUAUCAGGAAGGCGGAUACCAUUCUAUGUGCAGGAACGCCGGUGUAGCCAACGCGACCAAAUGCCACGUUUGCCAACGGCGCAUAGCGUAUAUAACGCCGGCAGGCUCGUGCACCGAAUGCAUCGAGGAAUUUUUCGAAGUGAGCGGUGAAGAUUUGCGGAAUAUGUCUAGGGGGAAAACCAUAGACGUGUUGACGAGGUGGUGAUGUAAAACUAUUUUUAAAAAGUAAAGGAAACAAAAAGUGAAAAGUGCGAACAAUUGGAACACUGUACAAAAAAAGAAAAACAAUUUAACGAAGAUAUCGAAUCGAGAGUGCGAGUGAUCCGAUGAUACGACCCCGAUGGACAAUAUGACAACAGUAUCCAGCGCUUGCAAAAGAAAAGACGAGAAAUCGGAAGAAAUAUAUACUACUAGAAAAUUACCAGUGGGCGGGGGUGGUGCUGUGCUGGUGCUCAGCGAGCUUGAAAGCAUGGCAGCCAGGCAACAGCGGGAAAUUGCCCAGCAAAGGCGCCUCCUGGAGCAGAGAGAGGCCCGUCUAGCCGUGCUUCGAGGCGCACAGGAGCCAGCACAGCAGGACAAACUCGCCAGAUUGAGGCACAGGUUGGACCAACAACAAAGCAAACUGAAUCGGUUGCGAUUACUCAGGUCGCAAACCGACCAGUCACGUGCCAACAACGCCACGCUGACCUCGGACCUGGACUGCAUAAGGGCGCUGUUCAACGAGAAGGAGAAGGAGCUCUCAUUGGCGGUGGCGAAGGUGGAGGAGUUGACGCGACAACUGGAGGAGUUGCGGGGCAGGCAGAACGCGGCCGGGACCGGAAGCGGAGGUGGAGGCGCCGGAGGCGUCGGCGGCGGAGGCGUUGGCGGCGGUGGCGGCGGUGGACACUUGUCGACGCCAGCCAGCGCGGAGCUCGAGAAACUCAGGAGGGAGCUUAUUUAUCGUAAUAAGAUGAACGAGCAGCAGAACCAAAUGGUGUCUCAGCAACGGUUGGCCCUAGCGCAACGACAAGCAGAGAUGGCGUCGAUAGACGCGAGGAUAGCUCAGCUGCAGGGUCGUCUUCAACGCAAGAGAGCGUUGAACCAACGAUUGAGCCAGCAGCUAGGCUCUGGGAAUCGCACGAGCGCGAACACUGGGUUCACAGAGUCGAAGCUGGACUUCAAUGCCGGAGGGAAGUCCAGGCCUGCUGGAAAUAUAGCCGCUAUUGAACCGUAUUCCCAUAUACCGAACGACAACGAUUUCAAUUUGAACAAAAACGACCCGAAAUAUCAGACACUGCCUUACAACACCAAAUUCACGGUGAAUUUUAAGGCUGCCGAAGAUGACGUUAAUAAGAAUAAGAUACAACACUCGGCCAGUGCCUCCCAAUUAGGUCAGAGGGCAGCUUUUCAACAAUUUGGUCAUCAAAUCGCCCAUAGCCAAUCCCAAUCUCAUAUUCAAGGUCAAUCGCAAUUACUGGGCACGAAUCAACACAACCAGAACCUGCCUAAUCAAUCCGUGAACAUGCAACAGACUUGCAACAACAACAACAAUAACAACAACAACAACAAUAACAACAGUAAUAAUAACAACAACAACGCCAAUAGUACGAACAACAACCUGAUUAGCACAUCCCACAACUUCAGCCCCGAGGGUUUAUCGCAAAAUCUUCGGAUCCAUCAUCAACAGCAAUCGCAGACGCAACAGCAGCAGCAGCAGCAACAACAACAGCAACAGCAGCAACAGCAACAGCAACAACAACAACAACAACAACACGGAAACAUUCAACAGAAGCAACACAACGUUGGUUCAUCGACAUCGAAUCUUGGCACCACCGUAUCCAUUACUCAAACUCAAAAUCACAGAAACCUUCAAACGCAUCAGAAACCAAUAUCCAGCGUGGCGCCAAGUUUCUCCGUCAAGUCUCAAAUCUAUCAGACUUCCUCCACGAAAAUUCAUCCCGUGAUGCCCCAAACUUUGAGCCUGAUAGGCCGUGGACACAAUAACGCGCAAAAUUUCGUCGGGCUGAGCACUCAGGGUGGCAACCAGCAGCAAUCGAACCAAUCCUCCUCUAACAAUCAAACGUCCACUCAGGACCAGACUUACUCGUCGAGGCACAACUAUCCCGGAAUUCAACACUCCGCUCAAGCAAAUACUCACCCUGUGUCUUCGUCCUCGGCGUAUCAGACGCAGAAUUCUCCUAAUCCUUCGUCGACCAUUCACACGUCAUCGAGCGGGACCAGUUUUGGAAAUUCGGUUCAAAGAUACAACCAGGCUCAACCGUUGACCGGCCCCACGUCCAACAACGAACAAUCCGAUAAGAUAAAGUUCGAACAAGGAAAGGUUCAAGAAAAAUUUGAACACGCCCUUCCGGCUAAACACGAACAGCAGAGGUACGAGCCCAAUCAGGUGUUCAAGUACGAUUCUCAUCAGAUAAAAUAUGACCAGCAUUCCAAGUACGAUCAACACGGGAAAUACGAUCAGGCCAAUCAGCAAACGAAAUUGUACGAACAAUCGAGCAAACACGAACAAAUUGGAAAUCAGACGAGUCGUUACGACAACGUCGUAUCGUCGAAGAUCGAUCAAGGGAAGUACGAAACCGGCCAGAAUAAACACGAACAAAUUCAUGGAACGAAGUACGAUCCUAAUCAGAAUACUCAACAAUACGGUAAACACGAUCAACACGAGGUUAGGCCAUCGAUCAAGUACGAGCACAAUGCGGGAUUUAAGCACGAAACAACCUCGAACAAAUACGAGAGCGGGGGGCAGCAAUUCAAGCAAGAAUCGGUCAAAUUCGAGAGCAACAAAUUCGAGCAAAGUUCCGCGACGAAGCACGAGCACAAUGGAAAAUUUGAGAUCCCGGCGAAAACUGUGGAGAAAACGUUCGAAUUCGAUAGAUUGAAAAGCGAGAACGAAAGGAAAAAUAUGAUAGAGGACAAGACGAAACCGGCUCUACCUCCGAAACCGAGCAAACCGAAUCCCCCCCCACGGCUGACCCAUCACGAAAAGAUGGACAAUCCGAGCGGUGAUGGGAUCGGCGAUUGCAAAAACAAUUUAGGGAUCAAUACGAGAACAGAGAAAGAAGAAGACGUUCCACCGAUCCCCACGUCCGAACCACCGGAAUCUCCGACAGAAACCCAAUUCGGCAAUCAUCAAAUCAUCAAAGCCAGGCCUUUAACAUUGAAGAAGGCACCGAUCUCCGAGCAGCCGAAGCUCCGUUACGCCAAGUCGAAUGUCCACGUGUCGAUAAAUCGACGGAUUGAGAUGCCACCGGCGUUUCUGUUUCCGGAAACCGAGAUUCCAGCGGACCUGAUGCAAACGGAACAGCAGCAACAACAACAACAGCAGCAGCAGCAGCAGCAGCAACAGCAGCAGCAACAACAACAACCGCAACAACCUCAGCAACAAUCACAAAUCAUCGAUACGACGGACAACUGCAAGAAGAGCGUUCCGAUCAUCAAUGAAGAUGUGAUUAGUAAUGAGAAAUUGGAGGAAGCGGAUAUCAUUGAUGCGUUGAACGUUAUUAAUAUCGAGGAUAAAGUGAAGGGGAAGGAUUCCGAGAGAAGAACGGAAUUGGAAGUCGAUGGGAAGAACAACGAGGUGAUGAGAAGAAAGAAAGGGAACUUGAAGUCCAGCACGGGGAAAGCGAAUCUCUCGAGAAGGGUCUCCUUUGAUCCUCUAGCUCUACUGUUGGACGCCAGUCUCGAAGGUGAAUUGGAAUUAGUGAAGAAGACUGCUAAAGAAGUGGCGAAUCCUAGUUCAGCUAACGAUGAAGGCAUUACUGCGCUUCAUAAUGCCAUUUGUGCCGGUCAUCUGGAGAUAGUCAAGUUUCUAGUGGAAUUUGGCUGCGACGUGAACGCUCAGGACAGCGAUGGAUGGACUCCCUUACAUUGUGCCGCAAGCUGCAAUAAUUUAUCCAUGGUAAGAUUUCUAGUGGAGCACGGAGCUUGUAUAUUCGCCACUACUCUCUCCGACCAUGAAACUGCAGCAGAAAAAUGCGAAGAAGACGAGGAGGGUUUCGAUGGUUGCUCAGAAUAUUUAUACAGCGUCCAAGAGAAGCUUGGAAUAAUGAACAAUGGUCAAGUAUACGCAGUGUUCGAUUACGAGGCACAACACAGCGAUGAACUCACUCUGAAGAAUGGUGAUUCCUUAGUUGUCCUUCGGAAGGGCGAUGACAACGAGAGAGAAUGGUGGUGGAGCAAACUGGGACACAAAGAAGGCUACGUACCUAGAAACUUACUUGGCGUAAGUUGUCCGAAUAUCUACGAAACGAAGAAACAGAAUGAUUUAUAAUUAAUUAGAAAAGAAAAAGAAAAAGAAAAAGAAAAAGAAAAAGAAUAGAAAUAUAACAUUAAAUUAUAUCCAAGGGUGCAACCGGCAAAGAUCGACUGAAGCGAGUUUCAGUCAGCGAACUCAUAUCCGAUGAUUCAUUACCACAGUAUUCGAUUCGCAGCUUUAUCUUGUUAAGUAUCAUAGUUGCAUCGUCGCAUUACGGAUCGUUAUAUUAAUUUAAUCGCGUCCCAUUGUCAUCCGAAUAAAGCGAACAGAAUGUUCUAUAUAGUUUUUUAUAUCUUCUUUUCUUUUUUGUAAAACGAAAUGAAUAUUGCUAGUAAGUACGGAUCAUGGGUGAAUCACGUAACAUAAACAAACAAUUACAAUAUAAUUAAGUAAAAAAAGCGAAAAAAUGAUAAACUACACAUCCUACACAUGCGUAAAGUUUAAUUGUUCUUAUUUUUUUUUUUUUUGACUCUUAUCUAUUUCUUUUCUUUCUCUUUUUAAAUUAAGAUAUAACUCAAAGGAUGAUAUAAUUUUGAUUAUAAUGAUUUUUAACUAAUUCCUUCAAUUGAAAAACAAUUCAAUACAAAAAUAAAAUUUCAAUGCUUUUACCCGUGAUUCCACUUUUAGCUCGACGGUCGCAUAGUCAAUAAUUGGAAUAUUUACGUUUUAAUAUCCAACGCCUAAGUAUUGCGCCGUGAUGAAGAUCAUUUAAAAAGUUUUUUCUUAGGUUCAUCCUAAUCAAGUCUCGAUUAAGAAUGUCCAAUUGAGAAUAUUUACAAUUUUAUUUAUUUUCAAUAAACGCAAACUUUUUUUAUUGUUUGUUUUUAUUGUUUGUUAAUACAAACAUAAUAAAAACAAUUGUAAUUAUUUGAAAAUAACAAAAAAUUUUCAACACUUUUUUUUUUUAAAAUAAAGAAAUAUUUUCAUUGAAUAAUUUUUCAUUUCCAUUUUCGUUUUUUUCGAGACUCGACGAGAAAGACAAAACUUUUUGAACGAUUUUCCAAUCUGGUUAGAAAGACAACUUUUAUUUUACGCAUAUUACCAUAGAAUAUAAAACGUUCUAUAUGAAUUGCAUAGACAUACUUAAAACGCGUUUGAUUUGUUUCACCUAAAUGUUUUUAUUUAGAUGAAGUCAGAUUAUUGUUGCGUUUAUUGUUAUAUUUUUAUUCGUCUAAUGAAAUUUUCCAAAUCCGAUCAAAAAUAAUUCGGAUUUCGAAAAUGUUCCUAAGAAUUGUGUAUAAUGUAAUCUUGCCAAUACGCACUUUUUAAAUGAUCCGUUAUAAGAAAAAAAAUUAAUAAUCUUACGCUUGCGAACACGGAAGAGAUUAAAAAAAUUUCGAUAGUCCGACCAUAGUAUGACCAUAUCCAAUAUUUCUUUUGUUGUUUGAAGCGUAAUACAAAUCAAUGCGAUUCGAGAAUCUCUAAGUAAUCAAUUUAAAACUUGAUACAUUAAACAUAGAUAUUAAUUAAUUAAUUAAUUGUCUAGGAAAAAUUCGAAUGAUCUGAUUACAAAUAUUCUAAGAUCAUUGUUAUACUGUCUGAAAAAACAGUAACUGAAUCAAUUCUAGAAAAAAAAAAAAGAAUUUUAUUCGAUUCUCAGAAUGUUUUUGACAUUUACACUCAUCCACUCCUACAUAAACACGCACUCACGCGUGUACAUACACAUACACACACGUAAAUGAAGUAUGUGCCUUUCAGAAGUAAUAAUGGUAUAUUAUGUAAGAAUGCAUGAUAUAUUAUGACGAAUAAAUUGUUUUUAAUAAAAAUCAA